GAUGAAGAACGUAGCGAAAUGCGAUAAGUAAUGUGAAUUGCAGAAUUCAGUGAAUCAUCGAAUCUUUGAACGCACAUUGCGCCCUCUGGUAUUCCGGGGGGCAUGCCUGUUCGAGCGUCAUUAUAACCACUCAAGCUCUCGCUUGGUAUUGGGGUUCGCGGUUUCGCGGCCCCUAAAAUCAGUGGCGGUGCCUGUCGGCUCUACGCGUAGUAAUACUUCUCGCGAUUGAGUUCGAUAGGUCUACUUGCCAGUAACCCCCAAUUUUUACAGGUUGACCUCGGAUCAGGUAGGGAUACCCGCUGAACUUAAGCAUAUCAAUAAGCGGAGGA
RNAcentral lists this unclassified non-coding RNA (329 nucleotides) under soil metagenome. RNAcentral's name for it is "partial contains 5.8S ribosomal RNA, internal transcribed spacer 2, and large subunit ribosomal RNA". The stretch from base 1 to 120 matches the Rfam family "5.8S ribosomal RNA", at positions 35 to 154 of the family's 154-position model. The record is from RNAcentral.